RNA transcript from Mus musculus (house mouse), 7772 nucleotides. It is a transcript of the gene named cyclin L1, with no coding region annotated. The record is from RefSeq and is marked validated. NCBI's taxonomy places the organism in Eukaryota, Metazoa, Chordata, Mammalia, Rodentia, Muridae. The transcript has 12 exons.
UAAAGGAAGGUGUUUAUUGAGGGUGAGGGGCACACCCAGGUAGCAAACACACAGAGAAAAAAAAUCCUCUGCAAAGCAAAGAGGAUGACACUCUGAAAAUGAAAUCUCUUCUUGGGGAUGGGGGUUUUAAAGCCUCUGAAGAGUCUUACUCCUCUACUUUAGAGUUGGUCAGUUUGAAAAAGAGAAUGGUUUGAAACAUGUGGCAUGUUCUAAACACUGUAGCUGUCUGCAGACACCCCAGAAGAGAGCAAAAGAUCCCAUUAUAGAUGGUUGUGAGCCAUCAUGUGGUUGCUGGGAAUUGAACUCAGGAUCUCUGGAAGAGCAGUCAGUGCUCUUAACUGCUGAGCCAUCUCUCCAGCCCCAGAAGUCCUUCUUCUGGAGCUUAAUUUCAGGCUCAAUUUUUGUGGUGUGUUAUUAAAUUCCUGUAGUAUAAUAGUGAAAGAAUGAUUACUAAAGAAAUAAAAAUAAUACUAGUUUUGGUUUCAGAACUUAAAAACUGAUGUUUAAAUGAUAACCAGAAGACACACUUGCCAGAAGGCUGCAUCUAAUGACAUGAGAACAAUUUAAGCACAGGGAAUAAGAUACUUUAGUGCCUCAGGAAAGCCAUUAGUCUUUCUGGUAUCACCUGAAUUCCACCUGUCUUAAAGCAGUAAAAAUGUAACUUUACUUUCACUAAGUUUCCUUUCAGGCACACAGAACUCAGGUUGAACUAGUAGGAUCCCUGUCUAUAAAGAUAAGCAAGGCAGGGUAUGGUGGCUUGGGUUUGUAAUACCAGCACUUGGGAAGCUAAGGCAAGAUGGCUGCAAUGAAUCCAUGGCCAACCUGGGCCACAAUAAUAAAUAAUAAUAGAAUAUUACGUGCGUAUACACACAUUUUCACUUAUUCAACAUAGUCAUUUGCCUCCCAACGGCCUCACUUGACUGGAUUCAUUUCCACUAAUGCUUUUCUAUGAAUAACACGUAUCUUUACUCUUCCCUGAAUUCUUGGUAAUUCUAAACAAGCCUUGUCUUUCCACAUUUUAACGUGGCUGUUUUAAGUGGAUAGUAAUUUGGAAACAAAACUUUCUCCAUAAUAACUUACAAAUAAUGUAAUGGUUUUUCCAAACUUAGAUUAUAUCACAGAAAGAAUAUGACAGUUACUUAACGAGCAAAAACCUCGUAGAGUCCAGUUACUAGCCCAUUACCUCCCAUCUUCUGGAUUAGUCAUGGACAAUUUUGAAAAAAGAAAUAGUAACAGUAGUUUGGUGACAUAAUGAGGAGCAAGCAUUUAUAACAUGUUCAGCCAUCUCUUCCUGUGGGAGGAACAAAAGUCCUGUGCUCAACAGAUAAGCAACAGGGGAACCAAGAAUGUUUUGUUUUUCAAGACAGGGUUUCUCUGUGUAGCUCUGGCUGUCCUGGAACUUGUUCUGUAGAACAGGCACUACCCUCAAACUUAGAGACCCACCUGCCUCUGCCUCCCAAGUGCCAGGACUAAAGGUGUGUACCACCUUUACAGGUAGGAACCAGUAAUGUUAAAGACAGGGUUGUUCCUUCAAACAAGGGUAUAUAACCUUCUAUCCACCCAGAAGGCCGAGAGCAGAUGUGACUAAUAGCCUGGUGACCUUUUCUGCUGUGUGGCCAAGACCACAUCAGAUCUUUCUCCAGACCCGUAUCAUGAGCAUGUCAUUUACAGAAUUGAUCAUUAUGGAAGGUGUCUCAUGUAGUGAAUCUACAGAACCCAUCUUUAUGGAAGAUGUCACGUGUACUUUACAAAGAGUUUUGAUGGAGUCACACCUUAAACUUUAUUGUCCACAUGGAAUUGAGUUAAUUAUCACCAAAAAAGUUUUCACUAAAUUGUGCCGACCCUAAUAUAUGCAUAGAAUUGCACAUUGGUGGUGCAGCUAUCCAAAUCAUUUCUGCUCCUUACCCAUAUUCCUGUAAGUAACCCUAAUAAAACUCAUUGGUUCACCAAGUUUGCACUCUGAUGGUAUCCAUACUUUGGUCUGUGGUAGGUUCCCUAUCUGAGGUGAGUAGUGUCUCACUAGGAAAAGUUUUGUCCCGACAUACCUGUCCCCUGGACUUGUGUCUCCUAUGCUGUCACAGAAAGUUUGGAUAUGAAAUGCCUGCCACAUACAGACCCUGUGAAGAGCUUGUCCUUAGUUAGUAGCACUGAGAGGUGAUUUAAUCACAAAGGCAAAUACCUCAUAAAUGGGUUAAUCCGACGAUGAGGUCACAGCUGGACAAGCAAUUAGGAGUUGGCAACCUACUUGAGGAGGGAGAUCCCUGGAUAUAUUCCCCUUUCUCUUUGUUGGUGGCAAGGGAUUUGUUUUUACCAAGGUCUCACACCAUAAAGUUCUGCCUACACAGUCCUACAGGUAUAGGGCCACAUGGCUGUAGCCUGAAACCUCAGAGACCAUAAACCAAAAUUAAACCUCAUUGUGGACUUUCUAGGUAAUCUGUCAGUGACAAAAAGCUAUCACAAUCAUAAAAUUUUUGUUUUUGAGGCUUUAGUUGAGUACUGGGAUUAAAGGCUUGUGCCACCACUUCCUGCUCUAUAUAGCUUUUGUUUGGAAGAGGUUUUGUUUCAUUUUGAAGAUAUUAUAUAGCUCUUACUGGCUUGGAAUCAGUCUGACCCUCUAAUCAGAGAUCCACCUGUCUUUGUCUCCAGAGUGCCCGUCCCAACACACUUUGUAAAAAUGAGCUGUGAAAAUACCUUGCUUUGGUGACUAAGAUGUAUCCAAAUUUUCAGUGCGCUCUAUAGGUCCAAGGUUAAGACACUUUUCAAGAAAGUAAGCUUUAACAAAAUAACAAUUCCAACCCUUUGUACUGAGUCAGGAGAUUUUUCUUUCUCCCUAAAGGCCAUCUCAGAGGAUUAAGCUGGAAUAAAAAGAUCAUGGGAGGCCAGAGGCAGAAGGAUCAAUUGUUUCACGGUCGACCUCAGCUUUUGGGACUUUUAGUAUGGAUGGAAAAAGACCACAGCUCUCAGCCAGGCGGUGGUGGCGCACGCCUUUAAUCCCAGCACUCGGGAGACAAAGACAGGCGGAUUUCUGAGUUCAGGGCCAGCCUGGUCUACAAAGUGAGUUUCAGGACAGCCAGAACUAUACAGAGAAACUGUCUCGAAAAAAACAAAAAAACCACAGCUCUCAUCUUAAAGGGAAUAAAUGAUGGGUUAUCCUGGAGCCAUUUUGAUUGACCAUGGUCCCGGAACACAGAUUUAGGUUAUUCCAAACUCCAUGUAAGAUGAGAGCUGUGUUUUUCUCUUCAUUGACACAGGGAUAGUUACUUUCUCUCCACUCUGACAAAAACCAUCUCUUUAAGACGAGACUCCCCAGCGCAAUGAAAUCGCCCGUGUACUGUCCUCGCCAUAAACCUAUUUUUGGAACUAGGGAUUUUCCAGAUUACUGUAAACCCGGCGAAGUGAGGUCAGGGCUAGGCAUGCCUUUCUAGGCUACACCCCGACACCCACGCGCGCUCGGAGCUUUCCGGAAACCCCAGGCGCUCAAACUGGGAAGCUGCCCGGUUCAGAGUCACUUUGUUACACUCCGGUGUCGCCGACCGCCGGACUGUCACCAACGCGCAGACCGUGCAGGGGUAUCGGGGCCGACUCACCAGGCCAGAGUCCGGGUUAUCCGGUGACUAAAGCCAUUACCACCCCUGAGCCGCCAGCACCCUGCCCCGCCCUGCCCAUCCGGACCCCUCCGCCCGGUGUCACCGACCGAAGCGCGGAGGAACUCGUUGGCGCGCGCGGGGAGUGGAGUGGGGUGGGGUAGGGCGUGUCGGCGUGGUGACGUCAGGGCGGAAGCGCACGCUGCGUGCGGCGGCCUGGAAGCCGGCGGUCACGGGAAGAUCCGUCGCGCCGAGGACGCUGGUUAGUCUCGCUUUGGGUUCCGGCUGCGUCGGGCGUGCGUGGAGCUCGCUGGAACUAUGGCGUCCGGGCCUCACCCGACCUCGACCGCUGCCGCCGCCGCCGCCGCUGCCGCCUCCGCCUCGUCCGCCGCCCCGAGCGCGGGCGGCUCCAGCUCCGGCACGACCACCACGACGACGACCACGACCGGAGGGAUCCUGAUCGGCGACCGCCUGUAUUCGGAGGUGUCGCUCACCAUCGACCACUCGCUGAUCCCGGAGGAGCGGCUCUCGCCUACCCCGUCCAUGCAGGACGGCCUGGACCUGCCCAGCGAGACGGAUCUGCGCAUCUUGGGCUGCGAGCUCAUCCAGGCCGCCGGCAUCCUCCUCCGGCUGCCGCAGGUGGCGAUGGCUACAGGGCAGGUGCUGUUCCAUCGGUUCUUCUACUCCAAGUCGUUCGUCAAACACAGUUUCGAGAUUGUUGCUAUGGCCUGUAUUAAUCUUGCGUCAAAAAUCGAAGAAGCGCCAAGAAGAAUAAGAGAUGUGAUUAAUGUAUUCCACCACCUCCGCCAGUUAAGAGGAAAAAGCGACCAGCUACAUUUACCAAAGCCUGGGUGAUGUGGAGUGGUACAUAGAGAUGAAGCUGUCGUCAUGGCAACAGUGAGUGAAGUAUCGAAAUCCCCAAGGAGAAGCCAGUGUUCUGAGAAUAGGUCACUGGAAUCGGGGACUAACAGGACUCCAAGCCCCCUGAUCCUUGAUCAGAACUACAUUAACACCAAAAAUCAAGUUAUCAAGGCAGAGAGGAGGGUGCUAAAGGAGUUGGGAUUUUGUGUUCAUGUCAAGCAUCCCCAUAAGAUCAUUGUAAUGUAUUUACAAGUCUUAGAAUGUGAACGUAACCAAACCCUGGUUCAAACUGCCUGGGUAGUCCAUGAUGGUAAGUCAUAGAACUCUGCCCUCUGCACUUCAGCCCAUGACCUCAGGAUGGCCUGAUUGGCUAGCCUGCUCUCCAGCCAGUCCAGUGCAAGCUCUCAUCCGAGAUUCACUGAAGUGGUCCAUACCCAUCUGGCAGCGUCUUCUAGUUCUGUCGGGGUGUCAAAAGGAUUUGUAUAUUUGCUUCUAGAAGUAACUAUGCAUCAUGCCUAUGUAUUAUUUCAUGUAUGCCUGUGACUAUCAAAAUGACUAUUUCAUUUUUGAUAGAUUGUUGUCCAGCCAUUAUGAAUUGUUUUUUUUUUGUUUGUUUUUUUUUUAAUUGGGUUCAGUUAAAUUUCAACUUGCGGUGUGUAUAGCAUCCGUUCUACCAAAGGAGGCUGAGGCUACCUUACACUUGUAGCUUUAAAUGGGUACCCAUUGCUGUUUUUUAGGUAUCUCCAGCUGUUGAGCUACUGCAGGCAGUGAUAUAAGAAGCAAUUAAUUUUAAAAAGAGAAGUUAAUGUUCUUUAAAUAUUUUUUGACCUUGGACCUUUGAGAAAGGCUAAGCGAGGAAAUUGUGGUUUAGUCAUAGAUGAUUCAUGUAACUGCUGGUAAACAAGCAUUAAAUAAUUCUGGAUCUUUCAGAAAUGUGUUUUUAUGACUGCCAUGCUUCUCUCGGAUUCAGUAGACACUGAACUGUAACAUUUGAAAAACCACAUCUCUUUAUAAAAUGCAUGAGUUUUUAACGUGUUUAUGUAGCAAAUACAGUAAUGAGUAAAAGGAUUUUAUAGAAAUAAUCCAUUUAAUUUCCAGCUCAGGCUUUUUAGCAAAUUGUAAAGUUUUCUAUUUAAGAAAUUUCAUGGGGAAGCUUCACUAGAGAUUUCUAAGUUUAUUUAAUUGAACUUAGGUCAUUGUUUUUAUUUAUCCGUAAUUGCAAAAGGUAUAUUAAACAAGGCUGUUGUGACGUAUUUAUUGUUCACUUCUCUACCUAGUUUUUUGCAAGUGUUUUUUUGUUUUUGUUUUUUUAAUUAUAAGUCAUUUGGUGGGUUCUUACUAAAAAUGCCUUUUUACCCCUGUUGAUAGUAUUUUUAAAGAACUUGAUUGACACUGCUUUUCGUUAUGGAUAAAGGAGAGAUGGUCAGUAACUAAGGCUUGAAGUCUUGUUGGGAGUGGUGAAUUCUGAACUUGUGUCAGAACUGACUUCCAAAACAUUGCUGUCUAUAACUGUGUGUUAGGAGGCGGCUUUGGGAGUAAGAUCUAUGUGAGUAAUGUAGAAUUACUUAAAGUGCUGUGGGGAAGUGGUUAGAAAAUACUACAUGGUACAAUUUAAAGAUGUGAAUAUAAGGAGAAGAAAAAAGAAUGAAGUAGAUUGAGUCUCCAACUUUAUGUGUACUUCAGGAGAACUGGUUUGCUUAUGAACUAAACUUAGAGCUGAAAUGUUUUUCAGGAAUUACAUGAAUGACAGUCUUCGAACCAAUGUCUUUGUUCGCUUUCAACCAGAGACUAUAGCAUGUGCUUGUAUCUACCUUGCAGCUAGAGCACUUCAAAUUCCCUUGCCAACUCGGCCCCAUUGGUUUCUUCUGUUUGGUACCACAGAAGAGGAGAUUCAGGAAAUCUGCAUAGAGACGCUUAGACUUUAUACCAGGAAAAAGCCUAACUAUGAAUUGCUGGAAAAGGAAGUAGAAAAAAGAAAAGUAGCCUUACAGGAAGCCAAGUUAAAAGCAAAGGGAUUGAAUCUUGAUGGAACUCCAGCCCUUUCAACUCUUGGUGGAUUUUCUCCAGCCUCUAAACCAUCAUCACCAAGAGAAGUGAAAGCUGAAGAGAAAUCACCAGUCUCCAUUAAUGUGAAGACAGUCAAAAAAGAACCUGAGGAUAGACAGCAGGCGUCAAAAAGCCCUUACAAUGGUGUAAGAAAAGACAGCAAGAGAAGCAGAACCAGCAGAAGUGCUAGUAGAUCAAGGUCAAGAACCAGGUCCCGUUCCAGAUCACACAGCCCAAGAAGACAUUAUAAUAAUAGGCGAAGUCGAUCUGGAACAUACAGCUCAAGAUCAAGAAGCAGGUCUCGCAGUCACAGUGAAAGCCCUCGAAGACAUCAUAAUCAUGGUUCUCCUCACCUUAAGGCCAAACAUACCAGAGAAGAUUUAAAAAGCUCAAAUAGACACGGUCAUAAGAGGAAAAAGUCUCGGUCUCGAUCUCAGAGCAAGACUCGGGAUCACUCAGAUGUUACCAAGAAACACAGGCACGAAAGGGGACAUCACAGAGACAGGCGUGAACGAUCUCGCUCCUUUGAGAGGUCCCAUAAAGGCAAGCACCAUGGUGGCAGUCGCUCAGGACAUGGCAGGCAUAGGCGCUGACUUUCAUCCUCUGACACUGCAGCGGUUCCUGGUGUUGCCCAUAUGCAGUGUAAUGAUGUGUGGACUCAAUCGAAACAUAAAAAAAAAAAAACUGAUUAGGAAAUGAUUUAUUAAAAUUGUCUAGGUUUCUAGAAACACUGAGGACAUUUUCUUUGGAAAAGAACUAUGUUAAGGUUUUUUGCACAUUAAAAUGCCCUAGCAGUAUCUAAUUGAAAACCAUGGUCAGGUUCAAUUGUACUUUAUUAUAGUUGUGUAUUGUUUAUUGCUAUAAGAACUGGAGCAUAAAUUCUGUAAAAAUGUAUCUUAUUUUUAUACAGAUGAAACUUGCAGACUUGUUGUAUUUAAGUGGUUAUUUGUUUAAAUGAUGGUGAAUACUUUCCUAACACUGGUUUGUCUGCAUGGGCAAAGAUUUUUACAAGGAAAUAAAAUACAAAUCUUGUUUUUAUAAACUGUUUCAAAUAUCUUAUUUAGAUUGCCAAGAAGCAAAAUUUUUAUGGCAGAUAACUGUUUUUUUUUGCAGAGGUGCAGUUUAGAAUAAUUACAAUGUCUUGCCUACAUUAUGUAAUGGCCGUUGUGUAUAUAGGAAAAGGAAAUAGGAAUGGCCUGGUAGUGCUAGCAACUAAAUGUAAAACCUGAUUGGAACCUAAUGUAUCAGAAGAUAAUUUUGAAUUAAAACUUGUAACAUGAA